Non-coding RNA from Arachis ipaensis, 789 nucleotides. NCBI's taxonomy places the organism in Eukaryota, Viridiplantae, Streptophyta, Magnoliopsida, Fabales, Fabaceae. The record is from RefSeq and is a predicted model, not a curated record.
GAGAUCUGAGGGGGAAGGAGGCCACGUUGCUGCCGCAGCUACCAAUCCGCGCCGUCAGGGUCGUCCCAUCCACGGAGCCUGAGUCGCGCCGUGUCACUGAGAGAAGAAGGAGAUCCGGAAGGGAGGAAGAGCACCGGGGAAGCAGCAGCUCACAGGCCAGCCGCAUUCUACCACCACGUUCGGCUCCUCGCCGUCGCGCUACCGAUUUGCCGCCGAUCCAGUCAUCCACGCCGUCGUCCUUGCCGCGAGUCCAGCGCCGUCGUUGCUAUCUUUGCACGAGGAGAGGUAGAGGCUAGCAGUGGAGGGCGGCACAUGAGAGGGAGUUCGUGCCUCACCACCGUCACCCAAUGGGGCCACGGACUGCGCCGGUCGCCGCCGCGUCGCGUCGAGGAGGAAGACUGAGACUGAGCGCCGCUGGGAGGGAGGACGACGCGAGCUGGAGGUCCGGUCGCCGUGGUGCUAUGGAGCAGACAGAACCGCGCCACGCUGUUGGGGUUCUCACUGUCGCCGGAAAGGAAUUCAGAUCCGCCGCUGCCGGAGCUUCUAGCCGAGCCUCAACCGUCGGGAACACCGCUGCCGCCACCGAGCUCCACUGCCGAUAAGGCUUUUAAGUUGAGUUUCCCUUCUGUUGAGUUUCCCGGAACUUCAUUGUCGCUGCGUGUGGUUCAGAUCGCCGCUGCUGCUUGGGGCUGACUGCCGGGUUGCCGCCGAACCGGUUCAGAGACCGCCGCUGUUUCGGUUCAACCGUUCCUUCUUCGGUUCGAGUUGUUGAGACUAUUGCGAAAUGGU